GGGAUUUUAUUCGUUGGGCAUUUGAUUCCUCUGCUUCCUUUUGGUCUUUUCUGCUGCGUUGUUUGUUUCUUUGACCUCUGUCUCCAUCAAGUCUUUCUUCUCUUUUUGUUUCUUUAUUUCAUCUAUCUAAAGCUCCGUCUCAGUGAUGAAUGAAUUGAGGGAUGGAAGACCAGAAUUGAUUUCAUUCAUUAUCUACUGUCAUUGCUAAACAAGUAUUUCUUUCAGUGGGUCAUCACUAUUGUUUCUACUUCUGUGAACUUUGAAUAGGUGAAUACUUUUUAUUAGUCUGCUUUUACUAUUGGUUUAGGAUGUGCACUUCUGUUGUACUGUAAGAGUGCUCGAUUUCACUCCUAAUCACCAGUGGUUUGGUGCCUCCUCUAUACACUAGAAAUCAUCUAAGCCACAUUCUACUUUCAUACUACACGAGUCAUGCAUGUGUAGCCAACCUAAUUGCUCUAAUGACUAAUGAGGUAGUUUAUCUCAAGCCUAUUUAGAAAUCCUUCCAAAGACUCUUCUGCUAUUGAUGUGCUUCCCCGUGAGUAUUCCAAGUAAUCAAUUAAAUCUUAUAGCAAUGGAUGGAACCGACGAGGCUGGAGUUAUGGUGCUCCUUGGCGCACGAUCCUGCGGAGCGUGCGACUAUUUUGCUCUGAUUGUUGCCAGACAAUGCGAGCCACCCGUGCCAUCAUCGCUCGUCUCAAUUUUGCGAGAUCAACAACCGCUGCUCAGCCUGCCGCCACAUACAGCAAGCAGCUCAUGAAGAAACACUACCACUGCGAGUCACCAAGUAUCAGGUCAGAAAAUGCAGGCCCGAGCUACUCUGAUUUCCAUAUGUGGCUAUCUCUGUCAUUCACCGUGGCAAAGCGAAACUGUGAUGUCAAUCCUAUGAAUACGUUGAACCAAGGUGAGCCAUUAUCGAUUCGCUGCUGAAGGUGUUUUCCUUUAUUUUGUUUCAUGUGGUUUAUCUUUUAUACUCUGAAAUUAUUUAGUUCUUGCAUUGAAUCGUAGUUUGUUUAUUGGCCUAUUAUAUCGAGUUGUAUGCAUAGAGAUGGAAGGGGGUGCGAGAAGCUAUGCUAAUUUUGCAGUGGUAGGCUGUGUCUUUCGAUUGUCUUUUAACAGUAAGUAUCAUUCUUUUAUUCCUGUGGCCUAAUCAGUGAGCUGUGACGAACAUUUUUUCUUUGUAUUCAAACUAGCUUGAACGAUCAAAAAGGGUAUUGGUCCAUGUUAGCCUUUUAGCAUUGUGUAUUAACAUUGGCUGGGCCAUCUUUCCAAGUUGUAAAACUACACUUAGAUGCUUAACCUUCGCCAUGUGCCUCUAUAGCUGCUUCCGGUGGUAUUAUCUGAGAUGGCCGUGGAGAUCAAAGGAUCUAUGUACAACCUUGGUUCAAGGUCUGCCUUAUGUGCUGAAUUAUGGCAAGGACUAAAACAGGUUUGGGAGCUAGCCUACCAAGAAAAGAGGUGUUUCAACAGCCUUUAAUACUUGAUUUUGGUUCGAUUGCAGCAAUGCAAGGAACAAAUUGCUUUGCACCUUUCUUCCAUUCUUUGUAUUUCUUACAUAGAGAAGGAAAAGGCAGCUAUUAUCAACUUCUUUCUCUGUGGGUUAACUUCCGUGCUAGCCUUAUGCAUUUUCCCAUGCCGCAUAAAUAUUUUGAGGUAGUACUAAUUUUAAAUCUUGCAUCUUCCAGGGAUAGUUCAUGUCAAAUAUUAAUUCGAAUUUACGUUUUCAUUUACAGCUUCACUGUACUAUUGUUUCUGGAGCAUGUAACUUUCCAUGUAUUAAGUGGGAUUGCUCGAUGUUGAGUCCGCCUUCUGAGCGGCGAGACAAAAGACGGGGGGUCGUGCGCCAACAAAAAUCCAUAUUGCAACUUUACAUAUUCCUAUGGACUUUCUGGUGCAAAUAAGGAUAGAGCUCUACUAUAUAUAUUCUGAACAAGAUCCAUAUUACAAUUGUACAAUCAUUCAUAGAAAAUUGAUUACUUAGUCUCAACUAAAAUUAUUUGUUGAAGUUGAUUUUCUAUCCUUGGAUAAUGGAUUCAUAUUGUGUGAGAUGUACUUUUUAAUGUCUAUGGAAACUGCUUACUAUUCACCUUUAAUUGACCUACUCCUAAAUAUUACCGAUUUGUAUAAUGCUAACAUAGUGUUUUUCUCAACUUAUUAUGAAGUUUAUUACAAAAUGAUCACCGGUGCGAAAUACCGGGGUCGCGCGCCAAGGCGCGCAUCAAAAUCUAGUU
Molecule: long non-coding RNA, 2228 nt
Organism: Lolium rigidum
Lineage: Eukaryota; Viridiplantae; Streptophyta; Magnoliopsida; Poales; Poaceae
Exons: 3
Source: RefSeq, a predicted model, not a curated record